AAAAGUCUUAAAAAUAGAUGACAAAAAAGAAAGUUACAACCAGAGAAACAGAAGUAAGGAUGGCAGUGAGGUUCUCAGCAGCAAGCUUUCAGAUGCUGAACAACUUUCCUCUACCAGGCCCUUCCACCAUGUGGCUUCUAUCUCACAACCAGAAGACUGAAACCUCAGAAGUAUCUUAGGUGACACAUGAAAGGAUCAUCUGCAAAGAAAUUUGAUACUUCUCUUCAGAAGACACUGUUGAGAGAAAAUAAGAAGCAACUACUCUCAAUGCUGCAAUCUGACAAAACAUGAAUGCAAAUUAUGCAAUUUUUCAAUAAAUAGAAGACAAAUAAUUUAGAAAUAAAAUAUUUUAUUGUACACUUUACAAUAAAAAUUUAAUUUCAAUAAGUGCAUGGAAAGAUGUUCAGAAUGAUUAACUGUCAAUUAAACACAAAAUAAAACUACAGUAAGAUGCUACUAUAUAGCCAGUACCAUGUAAAAUUAAGAGUAGACAAAUACCAAGUGUUGGCAAACAUGUAGAACACUCAUACAUGGAUAGUGAGAAUGUAAAAUGAUACACAAUUUUACAAGUUAGUUUGGGAGGUUCUUAUAAAAUUGACCAUAUUCUUGCUUUUGACCUCUAGAUAGUUCUCCAAUAAAAAUGAAAAUAUGCCAACACAAAGACUUGUACAUGAAUACUCACAAUAGGUUUAUUAUUGUAGCCAAAAAUGGAGGAAGUAAAGAUAUUUUACAAUUAAAUGACCAGUGAUAUAACAAAAGCAAAAAAUAUUAAUCAAUAAUAGUUGUACAAUGACAUAGAGAAAUCUUAAAAAUAAUUUGCUGAGCAAAAGAAGCUAGACAUAAAAUAUAAUAUAUAGUGUGAUUUUAUUUAUAUAAAAUGUGAAAACAAAGUUAAUGUAUAGCCACAGAAAGUAGACAUAUUUGUUUUGGUUAGGGAUUGCUAGACUUAACUGUAAAGAGACAGAACUUCUUCAGAGGAUGAAAUAUCCUUAUCUUUGCUAUUGAAAUGGAUACACUGGUGUACACAUUUGAUAAAAUAUUAAAACCAUAUUUUAAUGGGUAUAUAUUAUUUACAAGUUAUCUUUCAAUAAAGUUGACUUUAAAAACUAA
RNAcentral lists this long non-coding RNA (1110 nucleotides) under Heterocephalus glaber (naked mole-rat). Its description in RNAcentral is "lncRNA (ENSHGLG00100048205.1)". Lineage: Eukaryota; Metazoa; Chordata; Mammalia; Rodentia; Bathyergidae. The record is from RNAcentral.